AUUGAACGCUGGCGGCAGGCUUAACACAUGCAAGUCGAGCGAGCGGCGGACGGGUGAGUAAUGUCUGGGCAACUGCCUGAUGGAGGGGGAUAACUACUGGAAACGGUAGCUAAUACCGCAUACCAUCAGAUGUGCCCAGAUGGGAUUAGCUAGUGGGGGGGGUAAUGGCUCACCUAGGCGACGAUCCCUAGCUGGUCUGAGAGGAUGACCAGCCACACGGGAACUGAGAAACGGUCCAGACUCCUACGGGAGGCAGCAGGGGGGAAUAUUGGACAAUGGGCGCAAGCCUGAUGCAGCAAUGCCGCGUGGGUGAAGAAGGCCUUCGGGUUGUAAAGCACUUUAAGCGAGGAGGCGUUACUCGAAGAAGAAGCAACGGCUAACUCCGUGCCAGCAGCCGCGGUAAUAC
Molecule: ribosomal RNA, 406 nt
Filed under: uncultured bacterium
Lineage: Bacteria
Description: partial 16S ribosomal RNA
Rfam family: Bacterial small subunit ribosomal RNA
Source: RNAcentral